UUUUUUUUUUAACCAAAAAGAGAAAAAUUACAUUAAUACAAAUAGGAUUAUCAAAACAUUCAUGAUUAUUCUUAAUGUGUCUUAUCAAAUGUAGGCCACAUUUUUUUGAGCCCAAUGAUCUAAAAAUUAAUACGAAGUGCAUCAAUGUUUCGUUUUCCUUCUGGGCCCUUAGAGUACCAUGAUGACACAUAGUCUUCAUAAUUAACCUCACGGUACCUAGGAGGGGAAGACUCAUUAACAAGCUGAAAAGCAGGGGAUAUUUUCAUUUUCUUGGCUGGGUCAUGAAAUGUCGCAACGGAGAGUCUUGGCCGCCUUGAAUUAGUUAUGGCUCGAUGUUGAGCACUCUUGUACUUCCCAUUACUUAUAAUCUCAAUUUGGUCAGAAAGAAUGGCAACAAUGGCAUCACAUAAAGGGCGCACAGUGAACCACUGAGAUUCCUUCAAAACCUGAAGACCCUCAACUUGAUCUUGAAUUAAAAGUGUGAUGGCACCCAUAUCAGAAUGAGACUGAAGUCCUAGUGUAAGGUCAGGCUGAGGACAAGGAGGGUAAUAGCUGAUGGUAAUAUUCUGAUAGAAUUCACCAACUGCAUUCUCAAUGCCAGAUGAUGGUAGCCCCAGACUUUCUGAGAUGAGGCCCAAUAACUUCUGAGCAAGCACCUUCAUUUCAUCACUAUGCUUCCCCACGACUUCCCUGUAAUUGGGAAGGAAGUGAGGCCAACGAGAAGGAUUACGUCGAGAAAGAGGUAAAGUGUGGUGGUCAAAGUAGUCCCUCCAGUCCAAGACACCACAGUUAGAGUUGUCAACUAGCAUCUUGCUUCCAUAUCCUUCGGAGGCCGCGGAAGUGGGAUCACAUGCGUACUUGAGCUUGUCUUGAAAGGGGCAAUCAUUGAAAAAAGAAAAGCCAACACUCCUUAUCUGGUCCAUUAAUUCGAUGGGAACCCCAUGGUUGGUUACUUGGAAUGCCCCCCAUUCCCUGCAAGCCUCACCAAUUGCCUUUCUAACUGAAUCUCUGUGUUCUGGAUCAAACCCAAACAAGUCAAGCACUGGAAUAUUCAUAAUACCAGCGACAUUGUCUUUCUUAUGGAUGGGUCGAUUCUCAUGGGGCUGGAUAUAUUGGGAAGGGAUCUCUGCUACGCCUGCUUGUACUAGGCUUUGGACUCUCAUCACAGUGUUUCUCCCUGCCUCCAUUCCUUGUAAUUCAAACUCAAACUGAAAAGUAUAAAUCAUUAGAAGCCAUUUACUUGUAAAAAAAGUUUUAAAAAAGUUUUCCACUUUCAAGCUCCAUUUCAGUAAAAGCAGACCAGAAUCUGAAUGAUUUUGUAGGGCAGAACAGAGAAGAGAAGAGAUGGAGAUCAAGGUCGUUUGAUUAAGUUGAUAUGGAGGUCGUCCCUUGAAAGGGAAGAGACGCGCCUUUCUCAGAUACAGGUCGGAAUGGCAGCGAGUUAUAGAAAUCUUUUUUUUUUUUUUUGAUAAAGAUUUAUUGUUUUUU
RNAcentral lists this unclassified non-coding RNA (1488 nucleotides) under Hevea brasiliensis (rubber tree). Lineage: Eukaryota; Viridiplantae; Streptophyta; Magnoliopsida; Malpighiales; Euphorbiaceae. The record is from RNAcentral.